AUGACCUGAGCUGAAGGCAGAUGCUUAACCAACUGAGCCACCCAGGCACUCUUUCAUUGCCUUUUUUAAAAUUGAUAGGAUUUCCUUCAGUAUUCUGGAUAUGAGUCUUUUGUCAGAUUUAUGUAUUGCAAAUAUUUUCCCCUAGGCAGGGGACUAUUCAUUCUCUUAAUGGUAUCUGUUAGUAAACAAAAACUCUUAAUUUUAAUAAUGUCCAUUUUAUUAUUUUCUUUCUUUUAUGGCUAAUGAUUUUGGUAUCCCAAUUUAAGAAACCUUUGUCUAAAGUAACUUUGACAAAGCAAACUUUAUCCAAAGUAAAGAAGAAAUUUUCGUAUUUUCUUUUAGAUGCUUUAUUGCAUAAGAUUGCCUAUAACCUCCCUUUCUCAUCUUUGUUGAGCCUUUCAUACUUAGAUCUAUGAUGCAUCUGGAAAUAAUUUUUGUAUAUAGUGUAUGAGUCAACCUUUAGAAUCUCUUUUAGUGAAGGUCUGCUGACAGCAAACUCCAUUUGGUUUGUAAGUAUCUUUGUCUUAUUUAAAAAAUAUUUUUUGAAGGGUAUAGAAUUCUGGGUUGGGAAUUUUAUUUAGCACUUUGAGGUUAUUCUACUGUUUUUUUGGCUUCAGUUAUUUCCCUUGUGAAGUAAACUGUCAGCUUAACAGUUGAUACUCCUUUAAAAGUGAUCACCCUUGUUCCCAUGGUUGCCUUCAGGAUCUCCUCUUUAUUUCUCUUCUGUGUCACUAUGAUAUGUCUGUGUGCUGGGGUUUUUUUUUUUCUUUUUUUCUAAUCCUGCUUGAGAUUCUUUGGGUUCCUUGGAUUAUUCUUUUAUCAAUUUUGAAAGAUUUUCAGCUAUUAUAUUUUGAUUGUCUCUAUCAUUCUUUCUUUCAAAAGCUCUGAGAACAUGUUAGACCUGUUGUUGUGUCCACCAUGCCCUUUGUUUCUUAACCCAUUUCAUAUUUUCCAGUCUUUUCCCACUGUGUUAUACUCUAGUAAUUUCUUCAGAAUUAUAACCAAACAAAUUUGGGGAAGAGCCUUUAUUUGGUUCUUCAAGAAAUGAAAAUGAAUUUUAAAAAAUCCAACAGGUGGAUUAAACAGACACAUCUAAUAAGGAGAGACUUUUUAAACUAGAAUCUCAGAAUGUUUGCUUUUGCUGGCUAACUUAGAGAUAGUACCCAUAGUUCAGAGCCACAUUUUCAGCUUAUCGUUUUUUUGACCAAUGUGAUGUUUGCUGCAAAACUUAAAUUCACUGACUUGUGGCUACAAAUUAUCAGUGGUAAAUUUUCCCAACCUCCAUUCAGUGCCAAGGUUCAAAACAGGCAGUUUUCUUUAAUCCCUUUAAUGGGUUUGGGGGAGAAGCAUUUUAUUGCAAGUUCGCUGUUAUGGUGAAGGGUCGUUCUUUAGGAUGUCAGCUUUAUGGGCUGGGGCCUCCUAUUUGACCCCUCUUCUUGAAUAUGCCCUGAACUUUCUUCUCUAUCCCCAUGUAGACUUGAAAACGGAAGCUCAUAAUCCUUGCCCUCAAGGCAAAAGCUGGCUUCAGAGUUUCCUUCAACCUGUCUGGGGUUUUGCUUGGAUAUUUACAUUUUGCGUAACUUUAGCAGCUGAUUUCCACAGGCAAGCACUUAGUCUAAUGCUGCCAGAAAUAGGUGCCUAACUUUCUCAUAUAUUUUUUUAAGAUUUUAUUUUUAAGUAAUUUCUACACCCACUGUGGGGCUCAAACUCAGAAUCCCAAGACCAAGAGUCACAUGCUCCACCAGCUGAGUCAGCCAGGUGCCCAAUUUUCUUAUAUUCCUGACAACACUGUUUCCUCAACAUUGUUGCUGAAGAUCCAUACCUAAGUUUAAGGAGAUUCUGCUUUCUGCAGGAGAAGUGGGGUUCAAUCUUAUCAGGGGUGCCGCUGCUAAUUCCCAGCUAACACUGACUGCUUCUUAUGAACCAGCGAGCCUGCAGUGGGGCCCUGAGAAGAGUUCUAGCAAGUUUCCAGCGCUGCUGACACUGCUGUCAAAUAGCCACAACUUGAGAAGCACUGCCUUGGAGGGACUCGCCCACAGGUGAAGGUCAGCACCAUAGCUAGCCUGGUGAGCUCAGCACCCACUCCCAGCCCAAGCUCCAUGGCAAAGGCACACACCAAAUGAUGGCCUGCGCCUUCUUCAGCUGAGGGCUGAGGGCGCCAUCAGCAGUGGAUCGCGGAGCCACCCCUUCCUGAGGCCUCACCACCACAUCUCCAGGCUCUCCUAGGAGCUUUGGGAAUUAGCAGCUAACUGCCCCAUCCUCACUCAAGCAUCUCAGAUUCAGGCUCCCCUGGGAGGAAGCCAGGCAUGCGGAGAGCAAUAAGGAUUCCAUUAGAGGAGCCCCUUGACCUAGAGGAAUGGAGAGGGCAGUCCACUAGAAUACCAAUUUGUGAGUUCUUUUUACUUUGUACUGGACUUUGAAGAACUGCUUUAAAUGUCCCCAUCCUUCAAGUCUACUUUGUAUUCUCUUCAUUACAGCUCAGUGUACCUGUCACAGCCUGGAAAACAGACAAUUCCAUCACACCCUCCCCCCC
Molecule: long non-coding RNA, 2533 nt
Organism: Lutra lutra (Eurasian river otter)
Lineage: Eukaryota; Metazoa; Chordata; Mammalia; Carnivora; Mustelidae
Exons: 5
Source: RefSeq, a predicted model, not a curated record